CAGUCGCCACGGUAAUACGAAGGGUGCAAGCGUUAAUCGGAAUUACUGGGCGUAAAGCGUGCGUAGGCGGUUUGUUAAGUCUGCUGUGAAAUCCCCGGGCUCAACCUGGGAAUGGCAGUGGAUACUGGCUCGCUAGAGUGUGUCAGAGGAUGGUGGAAUUCCGCGUGUAGCAGUGAAAUGCGUAGAUAUGCGGAGGAACACCGAUGGCGAAGGCAGCCCCCUGGGCCAACACUGACGCUCAUGCACGAAAGCGUGGGGAGCAAACAGGAUUAGAUACCCCCGUAGUCCCUGUCUCUUAUAU
This 301-nucleotide ribosomal RNA is filed under the name uncultured bacterium. RNAcentral's name for it is "partial 16S ribosomal RNA". It matches the Rfam family "Bacterial small subunit ribosomal RNA", at positions 509 to 809 of the family's 1533-position model. The record is from RNAcentral.